CGGCUCAGUAACACGUGGCUAACCUGCCCUUGGGACAGAACCAACCCCGGGAAACUGGGGCUAAUGUCCGAUAGGCGAAGAACUCUGGAAUGAGUCUUCACCCAAAGGGCGCUUGGAUCAUGCUUCCAGGUGUCGCCCAAGGAUGGGGCCGCGACCGAUCAGGUUGUUGGUGAGGUAAUGGCCCACCAAGCCUAUAACCGGUGCGGGCCGUGAGAGCGGGAGCCCGGAGAUGGGCACUGAGACAAGGGCCCAGGUCCUACGGGGCGCAGCAGUCGCGAAAACUUUGCAAUACACGAAAGUGUGACAGGGUCAUCCCGAGUGCCGACCGCUGAGGUUGGCUUUUACCUAGUCUAGAAAGCUGGGGGAAUAAGGAGAGGGCAAGUCUGGUGUCAGCCGCCGCGGUAAUACCAGCUCUCCGAGUGGUGUGGACGUUUAUUGGGCCUAAAGCAUCCGUAGCUGGCUGUUCAAGUCCCCUGUUAAAUCCACCGAUUUAAUCGUUGGCUUGCGGGGGAUACUGUUCGGCUAGGGGACGAGAGAGGCAGACGGUAUUCCCGGGGUAGGGGUGAAAUCCUAUAAUCCCGAGAAGACCACCAGUGGCGAAGGCUGUCUGCUAGAACGCGCCCGACGGUGAGGGAUG
Molecule: ribosomal RNA, 637 nt
Filed under: uncultured archaeon
Lineage: Archaea
Description: bacterial SSU rRNA
Rfam family: Archaeal small subunit ribosomal RNA
Source: RNAcentral